This 90-nucleotide transfer RNA is filed under the name Pseudomonadota bacterium. RNAcentral describes it as "tRNA-Ser". It matches the Rfam family "tRNA". Rfam says of the family: Transfer RNA (tRNA) molecules are approximately 80 nucleotides in length. Their secondary structure includes four short double-helical elements and three loops (D, anti-codon, and T loops). Lineage: Bacteria; Pseudomonadati; Pseudomonadota. The record is from RNAcentral.
GGAGGGAUGGGUGAGUGGUUGAAACCGGCGGACUUGAAAUCCGUUAUGGCCUCGCGGUCAUCGGGGGUUCGAAUCCCUCCCCCUCCGCCA